UUUUUGUCUGUCUUUUUACUGUUGAGUUCCUAUUAAUGAGAUCUUCAACUUUCAUUUAGACCUCGUUGGCUAAUUCUCAUUCUAUCUCGGAUUUACAAAACUGUAUCAAAUUCGCCGCGCUCGAAAAGUAGGGACUAAGCUUCGUCCAUAACUUUCGCAUACGAGCUCCAUUUUUGUCUGUCUUUUUACCGUUGAGUUCCUAUUAAUGAGAUCUUCAACUCUCAUUUAGACCUCGUUGGCUAAUUCUCAUUCUAUCUCGUAUUUACAAAACUGUAUCGAAUUCGCCGCGCUCGAAAAGUAGGGACUAAGCUUCGUCCAUAACUUUUGCAUACGAGCUCUAUUAUCGACGUUCUUUAUAUCCACGCGUUGGUAUUUAUGAGUACUACAACUUUCAUUUAGAUCCCGUCGGCUAAAAAUCGACCGAUCUAAAAUUCAGAUUUCGGGCUGUGCACUGCUAUGCUAAAUCUUAGAAAAAUCAUAACUUCCUCAUACGAAGUCAGAUUUGGGUGUUCUUUUUAUCGAUGUUCUUAGUUUAACAUAUUCUACGACUUUCAUUUAGAUCGCUAAGGCUAAAUCUCGCUCUAUCGUAAAUUCACUAUUUACGCUUCCCGGUAUCGUGCCGGUUCCGUCGCGAAACUUCAACAGGUCAUAACUUCUUCGUUAUAACUCGGUUUUCGGCGUUCUUUAUAUGUACGAAAACCUUGUAACAUACUCUACAACUUGGUUAAGAUUAUUUAUUCUAAAUAAUCUUUUGUCGAAAAGUCGUUUUCGACCCCUAAUGCCUCUAAUUUGACUAGCUCGGAUUUGCGGGCGUUACAUAAGCAUCACAUACAACUGAAACCAAUCAAGGCUCUGAUACCACUGAUGGGUUUUAUGCAUAAGAAACAUUCAUAUGUGCUCAUACAAACCCUAAUGCUUGGAUCUAGGUUUCUCUAUUGAACAUGCUUUGAUUCCAAGACUUACA
RNAcentral lists this long non-coding RNA (964 nucleotides) under Lactuca sativa (garden lettuce). Its description in RNAcentral is "long non-coding RNA (LSAT_LNC005811)". Lineage: Eukaryota; Viridiplantae; Streptophyta; Magnoliopsida; Asterales; Asteraceae. The record is from RNAcentral.